CUUACACAUGCAAGUCGAACGAGAAAGCCGAAAGCUUGCUUUUGGCGAGUAGAGUGGCGCACGGGUGAGUAACGCGUGGGUAAUCUGCCUUCGAACCGGGGAUAACACUUCGAAAGGGGUGCUAAUACCGGAUGACAUCCAGGUGUCUUCGGGCGCUUGGAUCAAAGAUGGCCUCUCCAUGGAAGCUGUUGUUCGAAGAUGAGCCCGCGUCCCAUUAGCUUGUUGGUGGGGUAAAGGCCCACCAAGGCGACGAUGGGUAGCUGGUCUGAGAGGAUGAUCAGCCACACUGGCACUGACACACGGGCCAGACUCCUACGGGAGGCAGCAGUGAGGAAUUUUGCGCAAUGGGGGUAACCCUGACGCAGCAACGCCGCGUGAGUGAAGAAGGCCUUCGGGUCGUAAAGCUCUGUCGAGUGGGAAGAACCCGCAUCAGGUGACAAGGCUGAUGCGCUGACGGUACCACUGGAGGAAGCACCGGCUAACUCCGUGCCAGCAGCCGCGGUAAUACGGAGGGUGCAAGCGUUAUUCGGAAUUACUGGGCGUAAAGGGCGCGCAGGCGGCCUGGUAAGUCAGUAGUGAAAGCCCGGGGCUCAACCCCGGAAGUGCUGCUGAAACUGUUGGGCUUGAGUAUGGUAGAGGGAAGCGGAAUUCCUGGUGUAGCGGUGAAAUGCGUAGAUAUCAGGAGGAACACCGGUGGCGAAGGCGGCUUCCCUGGACCAAUACUGACGCUGAGGCGCGAAGGCGUGGGUAAGCAAACAGGAUUAGAUACCAUGGUAGUCCACGCAGUAAGCGGUGAUCACUAGCUAUUGCGGGUAAUUGAUACUUGCAGUCCCGGAGCUAACGCAUUAAGGUGAUCCGCCUGGGGAGUUACGUCCGCAAGGUUGAUACUCAUAGGAAUUGACGGGGGCCCAGAACAAGCGGUGGAGCAUGUGGUUUAAUUCGACGCAAACGCGAAGAACCUUACCUGGGUUUGACAUCUGGGGGAUCCCAUGGAUACAUGGGGGUGCCCUUCGGGGAGCCCCAAGACAGGUGCUGCAUGGCAGUCGUCAGCUCGUGUCGUGAGAUGUUGGGUUAAGUCCCGCUACGAGCGCGAGCCCUGUCUUCAGUUACCAGCGAUUCGGUCGGGGACUCUGAAGAUGCUGACCCGGCCAACGGGGACGAAGAUGAAGAUGACGUCAAGUCCUCAUGGCCAUGACGCCCAGGCCUACACACUUACACGAUUACACAGGUACAGAAGGUAGCGAGAUCGCGAGAUGGAGCCAAUCCCAAAAAGCCGUCCUCAGUUCGGAUUGGAGUCUGCAACUCGACUCCAUGAAGUUGGAAUCGCUAGUAAUCGCGGAUCAGCAUGCCGCGGUGAAUACGUUCCCGGGCAUUGUACACACCGCCCGUCACACCAUGAGAGUUGGCUAUACCCGAAGUCGCCGGCCCAACCUGUAUGGGGGGG
RNAcentral lists this ribosomal RNA (1444 nucleotides) under uncultured organism. RNAcentral's name for it is "16S ribosomal RNA". It matches the Rfam family "Bacterial small subunit ribosomal RNA". The record is from RNAcentral.